GAUGAAGAACGCAGUGAAAUGCGAUAAGUAAUGUGAAUUGCAGAAUUCAGUGAAUCAUCGAAUCUUUGAACGCACAUUGCGCCCGGUAGUAUUCUGCCGGGCAUGCCUGUUCGGGCGUCAUUUCAACCAUCAAGCCCCAGCGCUUGUGUUGGGGGCCUGCGGCUGCCGCAGCCCCCUAAAAGCAGUGGCGGGCUCGCUAUCACACCGAGUGCAGUAGUUCAUCUUCUCUCCGGUCUUGUGAGGCGGGUUCCGGCCGUGAAACACCCCACUACAUUCAAGGUUGACCUCGGAUCAGGUAGGAAUACCCGCUGAACUUAAGCAUAUCAAUAAGCGGAGGA
Molecule: unclassified non-coding RNA, 338 nt
Filed under: soil metagenome
Description: partial contains 5.8S ribosomal RNA, internal transcribed spacer 2, and large subunit ribosomal RNA
Rfam family: 5.8S ribosomal RNA (bases 1-120)
Source: RNAcentral